This 253-nucleotide ribosomal RNA is filed under the name uncultured bacterium. Its description in RNAcentral is "partial 16S ribosomal RNA". It matches the Rfam family "Bacterial small subunit ribosomal RNA", at positions 524 to 776 of the family's 1533-position model. The record is from RNAcentral.
UACGUAGGGUGCAAGCGUUGCCCGGAUUUAUUGGGCGUAAAGGGCGCGUAGGCGGCUCUGCACGUUCGUUGUGAAAUCGCCCGGCUCAACUGGGCGGGGUCAGCGGAUACGGCAGAGCUUGAGCAAGCUAGGGGGCAAUGGAAUUCCCGGUGUAGUGGUGGAAUGCGUAGAUAUCGGGAGGAACACCUGUGGCGAAAGCGGCGCACUGGACCACAACUGACGCUGAGGCGCGAAAGCUAGGGGAGCAAACAGG